UUCGCCAGGGAACAACGAGCCCCAGCUUAAAACCCAAAGGACUUGGCGGUGCUUUAGACCCCCCUAGAGGAGCCUGUUCUAGAACCGAUACUCCCCGUUCAACCUCACCCUCCCUUGUUCUCCCCGCCUAUAUACCGCCGUCGUCAGCUUACCCUGUGAAGGAAAAACCGUAAGCAAAAUUGGCAUAGCCCAAAACGUCAGGUCGAGGUGUAGCGUACGAGAGGGGAAGAAAUGGGCUACAUUUACUGUUUCAGUAAACACGGACCUUGUAUUGAAACAAACAUGUGAAGGAGGAUUUAGCAGUAAGGGGAGAGUAAAGUGCCCCCCUGAAAAUGGCCCUGAAGCGCGCACACACCGCCCGUCACUCUCCCCAAUAAAAUACCGCAAAUAACUAAUGCCCAAUUGAAAUAUAAGGGGAGGCAAGUCGUAACAUGGUAAGUGUACCGGAAGGUGCACUUGGAAAAACC
This 467-nucleotide ribosomal RNA is filed under the name Lesueurigobius sanzi (Sanzo's goby). Its description in RNAcentral is "partial 12S ribosomal RNA". It matches the Rfam family "Bacterial small subunit ribosomal RNA", at positions 868 to 1528 of the family's 1533-position model. The record is from RNAcentral. Lineage: Eukaryota; Metazoa; Chordata; Actinopteri; Gobiiformes; Gobiidae.